UACGUAGGUGGCAAGCGUUAUCCGGAAUUAUUGGGCGUAAAGCGCGCGCAGGUGGUUUCUUAAGUCUGAUGUGAAAGCCCACGGCUCAACCGUGGAGGGUCAUUGGAAACUGGGAGACUUGAGUGCAGAAGAGGAAAGUGGAAUUCCAUGUGUAGCGGUGAAAUGCGUAGAGAUAUGGAGGAACACCAGUGGCGAAGGCGACUUUCUGGUCUGUAACUGACACUGAGGCGCGAAAGCGUGGGGAGCAAACGGGAUUAGAUACCCGCGUAGUCC
RNAcentral lists this ribosomal RNA (273 nucleotides) under uncultured Bacillus sp. RNAcentral's name for it is "partial 16S ribosomal RNA". It matches the Rfam family "Bacterial small subunit ribosomal RNA", at positions 524 to 796 of the family's 1533-position model. Lineage: Bacteria; Bacillati; Bacillota; Bacilli; Caryophanales; Bacillaceae. The record is from RNAcentral.